Molecule: ribosomal RNA, 452 nt
Filed under: Aeromonas hydrophila
Lineage: Bacteria; Pseudomonadati; Pseudomonadota; Gammaproteobacteria; Aeromonadales; Aeromonadaceae
Description: bacterial SSU rRNA
Rfam family: Bacterial small subunit ribosomal RNA
Source: RNAcentral
UUUUGCCGGCGAGGGGCGGACGGGUGAGUAAUGCCUGGGAAAUUGCCCAGUCGAGGGGGAUAACAGUUGGAAACGACUGCUAAUACCGCAUACGCCCUACGGGGGAAAGCAGGGGACCUUCGGGCCUUGCGCGAUUGGAUAUGCCCAGGUGGGAUUAGCUAGUUGGUGAGGUAAUGGCUCACCAAGGCGACGAUCCCUAGCUGGUCUGAGAGGAUGAUCAGCCACACUGGAACUGAGACACGGACCAGACUCCUACGGGAGGCAGCAGUGGGGAAUAUUGCACAAUGGGGGAAACCCUGAUGCAGCCAUGCCGCGUGUGUGAAGAAGGCCUUCGGGUUGUAAAGCACUUUCAGCGAGGAGGAAAGGUUGGCGCCUAAUACGUGUCAACUGUGACGUUACUCGCAGAAGAAGCACCGGCUAACUCCGUGCCAGCAGCCGCGGUAAUACGGAGG